CGACACUUUGUGGGAUGCGUU
RNAcentral lists this microRNA (21 nucleotides) under Panagrellus redivivus. RNAcentral describes it as "prd-miR-7882-5p". Lineage: Eukaryota; Metazoa; Nematoda; Chromadorea; Rhabditida; Panagrolaimidae. The record is from miRBase by way of RNAcentral.